This 629-nucleotide unclassified non-coding RNA is filed under the name Hevea brasiliensis (rubber tree). The record is from RNAcentral. Lineage: Eukaryota; Viridiplantae; Streptophyta; Magnoliopsida; Malpighiales; Euphorbiaceae.
UUCUCCAUUUAGCUCUGUUUGAGACCAAUUUCGAAUUUAUGAAAAACUUAAAAAAAUCAAGAGGAUCAUUUUACUAUUUUUGAAACCAUUAAGUAUGUUAAUGCGACAACCUCCAAAUGUAAGAGAAAUACAAGGCAAAAAGACCCUAAAAGUAGCAAGACAACAAGACCCUAAAUUUUAUAAGCAUUACAUAGAAAUAAAUUUUCAAUUUUUAUCUUUUGCUGUUGACAUUAUGAUUUCAGCUCAGUCAUAAAACAAAGGUGUCUUCAUGAACGUAAUUGUCAAGCCCAGCCCGGCUGAUUCAAUCAGAAAGCUAGGAACCGGUCCCUUGGCCAGUUCUAUUUAUCCCUCAAACUCAUUUUUUCAAACCCAACCAAAAACUCUCUAAACUAGGCCAAAUAAUUGGUAAAAUGGUCAAUUUGGACUGGGUUCAACAAGUUGGGCGGGUUUUCAGGAAGGUAACAUGGCACUUAAUCUAGUUACCACAUAACCACAUUAACACCUUAUUUGGAUCAUAGUUUGUGAUGAUUUCAUAUUAUAUGGUAUGAUUAUUUUACAUAUUUGGAAAGAUUGAUUAUAAACAAUGAUGAUUUUGGAUUGUGAAAUGGUUUCCUAACCAUCAUUUUAUC